RNAcentral lists this ribosomal RNA (235 nucleotides) under uncultured bacterium. Its description in RNAcentral is "partial 16S ribosomal RNA". It matches the Rfam family "Bacterial small subunit ribosomal RNA", at positions 96 to 334 of the family's 1533-position model. The record is from RNAcentral.
UGGCGGACGGGUGAGUAAUGUCAGGGAAACUGCCCGAUGGAGGGGGAUAACUACUGGAAACGGUAGCUAAUACCGCAUAACGUCGCAAGACCAAAGAGGGGGACCUUCGGGCCUCUUGCCAUCGGAUGUGCCCAGAUGGGAUUAGCUAGUAGGUGGGGUAACGGCUCACCUAGGCGACGAUCCCUAGCUGGUCUGAGAGGAUGACCAGCCACACUGGAACUGAGACACGGUCCAG